Molecule: long non-coding RNA, 3952 nt
Filed under: Brassica napus (rape)
Lineage: Eukaryota; Viridiplantae; Streptophyta; Magnoliopsida; Brassicales; Brassicaceae
Description: long non-coding RNA (BNAP_LNC003253)
Source: RNAcentral
UUCUCUUCCUCUCACUCUCCUCCGCCGCUUCUUCCUCCCAAUACAACACCCUCGUCGUCAACACUCUCCCUUCUUCUCCAAUCCUCUCAUCUCCCGAGUCCGAAUCAUUGACCACUGUAUCCCAAUCCACAACUUCACUCUCACUCCACCUAUCACACGUCGAUGCUAUCUCCUCCUUUUCCGACGCAUCUCCGGCGGAGCUCUUCAACCUCCGUCUCAAAAGAGACUCUCUCCGCGUCGAGUCCUUGACCACCCUCGCCGCCGUCUCUUCCCGCCGGAACGUUACCAGAAGAGCUCCACGCUCCGCCGGUGGGUUCAGCGGCGCUGUUAUCUCCGGUCUCUCGCAGGGAAGCGGAGAGUAUUUCAUGAGGCUAGGCGUCGGGACUCCGGCGACUAACAUGUACAUGGUCCUCGACACGGGAAGCGACGUCGUUUGGCUGCAAUGCGCUCCUUGCAAAGUGUGUUACAACCAAUCCGACGCGAUCUUCGACCCGUCUAAAUCCAAAACGUUCGCCACCGUCCCGUGCGGUUCUCGUCUCUGUCGGAGAUUGGACGACUCGUCGGAAUGUUUCAGACAGCGAAGCAAGCGUUGUCUCUACCAAGUCUCGUACGGUGACGGGUCGUUCACGGUUGGAGACUUGUCGACCGAAACGCUGACGUUUAAGGGAGCACGUGUCGAUCACGUGGCGGUGGGAUGCGGUCACGACAACGAAGGCUUGUUCGUAGGCAAACUGCAAAUCCCCAUCCACUACGAAACAAGUAGAUGUACUUGCUUCAAUAAUAGCCGUCUGAUUUAUUUUAUAAACUUUUAAUCCAACGGUUCUAAUCUAAUCGCACUGUUCAAUAAACCAACUAAACUAAUACUUUCAAAGCAAGUUAAUUUUUGGCUAUUUUACGUGUAGUCAGCAUCGACUUAGCAUUUCUCUUGUCCACUUGACCAACGUGAAGGGCAAUAAAGGAAGAGAAAAAUCAAAAGUAAGGGACAAAGUACACCUCAUGGAGAAAGUGUGUCAACAUGAUAAAGACCCAUGAGAAAGUACCCAAUAUUGUAAACUUCUCUUCUUUUGCCUUUGGGUGGAGCCUAAUCAAGAGCAUUUUAGGGGUAAAAGUUUCACGAACCCGUAGCGUAGGUCUUGUUAGACAAUAAACAAUGUAAAAUAUAUAGCAUAUAUUAUUCGGCACUCAUGUUGUAUCUAUAUUAAUAUGUCUUCCAAGUAUAUGUAUUGGUAUUAGUAUCUAUUUUUUGUUUGUUUAAAUCAUCCAUUUUAAGUUAUACCAAAAAUGACUCUUCCCUUCUCUCAAAGGGUAAGGAGUCUAAGAACUCUAACCCCGUUAACGAUCAAGAUUAACUCCGAUAUAUAGUAUAAAUUACUCUCUAGUCAAUAACAUCAUGCAGCAAGAUUAUCAUAUUUUGCAAGUAACACAUAAAAUACAGACAACUAAAGACCGUGUCAUUGUAUUUCAAAUUAUCAAACGGAGUUAAUUAGCACGUACAUAAGUGUGUGUGUGUGUGUAGACUCUAUGGAAGAGUAUGUGGAUCUGUUUGAAUCUGGCUCUCACAUGUAAAUGGACAAGUUCCAUUUUAUGUGGAGGAUACGAUCACUACAUAAUGUAGGACGGUACACAUCUAUGAUUUUUUGUAGUCUAUAUUGUUUGUGGAUCUAACAAGACUAUGACCGAGAUCUGUAAUAUAUAUGGAUUGGUACCAGUAUAAACGUCGUUUCACAUGAGCAAACAAAGAAAAUGAUAUGAUAAGAUUAAUAGUUGAAUCAUACAAACUUUCCAAAUAUGAAAAAGUGGGACUUUCGCAUUACACAUCAAAAAGAAUUCAAAUGCUGUAAUCAUAUCAUUCGCACACUCUUUGGCUCUUUCUCUUCGUUCUCACAACCUGAGGUGGAGUCACGCAGAUUGUCAAUUAUUCAGGGGUAUAUUAGUAACUGUUUAUAAGAAAUACCGUCCGUACAUAUAGAAAAGAUGAACGGGGUCGCUUUCGACCUAAUUCACACUCCCACUUAACCGUUAGGUCAAGCUCCCAUCUGGGAGAAUCUUUUUGAGAUCCAUUAUCAAGAAUUUUAAAAGAGUCUGUACUUUUAUUUCAGCUAAUCAGUGUUAAAUGUACAUCAUUACUUGGAAGGUGAUUGAUCAAUUUAUUUUAUAAUUGCAAAUGGGAAGUAAAGAACAGCCAAAAGACAAACCCAUAUACUGAUUUGAUUUAUAACAUUAGUUUAUUAUACUGUAAAAGAGAUUGUGUAAUUUUGGGUGAUGAAUGAAAUGAUAAAAUGUAAUGUCAGAUUGAUGUAAAAAAGGGUAAACUAAUAAUAUAAGAGAAGAGGGGACCAUGAAAAAUAGAUGUAUCACAUGAUCUUUCUCUGGUUCUCUGAAUAUGGGCCUCAAUAUCUCUUCCUCCCCAUUAUUUGUGCCUGCAAAAUCUUCUGAUUCUGGAUAAAUCUUAACUCUUUUGUCAAAAUGUUUCUGGAAUUAAUACAGCAGCUAACAAUCAAAGAAUGAAUGUUUGGAUGAUCUAAAAUAUAUUUCUUCUUAGCAUAUAACUAAAUUGCUAGUUUGUAAUAUGGAAUUCUAAGUAACAAUCUGGUUAAUUAAUUUUCUGAACACAUGUAUUAAUGUGAAAAAGGGUAACAAUUAUUGAGAGAGGUAGGGACCAAGGGAGGAUGAGUUUUAUAGGCUAAGGACUCAAUAAAUGGAAAUUAAAGAGAUGACUAAAUUAUGGGUGAUUAAUUCAUAGAGUAGAGUAGAUCAGUAGACAAUGGGCUUCCCCCAUUUCUGAAGGGCUUUUAAAUUUUUUUUGCAACAUUAUAGAUUUAAUUUGAAAUUGAAAACCAAAAUGUAGCACCUACUCUUCCUUCCACGUUGUUAUCAAAGAAGUCUCAAAUAUGUUCUUCAAAAUCUAAUAACCAUAAAAUCUGAAAUAUGGAACUAUUUCUACUGUCCGCUUGUCUCCAAAUUCUUACUAACAAUGGGCUACAAGAGGCUUUCGAGACGAGCUAACAUCUUUCAUCUUUUCAUUUUAAAUUUAUUGAAAUGCUUUGAUUCAGGGAUUUUCUUAAAUACCUCUAUACAUUUUGGUUGGGCUAUGAAACCCAUCUAUGGCAAUAAACAUGGGCUUAGUUCUCAAAGAAAAAAGUACCAAAAAUAGUAAGAAAAAUGAAAAAUUAUUUUGGGCCAUGAAACCCAUCUAGGGUGAUAAACAUGGGCUCAAUAAACAGAUAAGGUUCCACUAACACUUGAAUUCAGAUUACUGGACUGAAAGUUCAAUUUCAAGACUCACACAACUAAAUUAAUUUUAUCUCAAAUUGAUUUUUUUUUUUAUUAAUGGAGUUCGUUAGGUGGAAAUGUGAAUAAAAACUAAAAAGUCAAUAAUUUCGUAAUGAUGAUUUUACUUUGUAUAUAAAAAUAAAAAGAAAAAAACAAAGUCGAUCCAUAAUAAUUAAAGUAAAGUAAGCUUUCACACACGAGAGCUUCCUUUGCCUUUAUAUGCUUUGUAGUAGUAGCCAACCUAAACUCUAUACAGAUCCCUUGUGACAAUAGUUAUAAUUUUAAAACCACUAUGGGAACAAAAGUCCAAAACACCCUCAUCUUCUCCGUGGCUGUUCUCUUCCUCUCACUCUCCUCCGCCGCUUCUUCCUCCCAAUACAACACCCUCGUCGUCAACACUCUCCCUUCUUCUCCAAUCCUCUCAUCUCCCGAGUCCGAAUCAUUGACCACUGUAUCCCAAUCCACAACUUCACUCUCACUCCACCUAUCACACGUCGAUGCUAUCUCCUCCUUUUCCGACGCAUCUCCGGCGGAGCUCUUCAACCUCCGUCUCAAAAGAGACUCUCUCCGCGUCGAGUCCUUGACCACCCUCGCCGCCGUCUCUUCCCGCCGGAACGUUACCAGAAGAGCUCCACGCUCCGCCGGUGGGUUCAGCGGCGCUGUUAUCUCCGGUCUCUCG